This 101-nucleotide small nuclear RNA is filed under the name Neotoma lepida (desert woodrat). Lineage: Eukaryota; Metazoa; Chordata; Mammalia; Rodentia; Cricetidae. The record is from RNAcentral.
GCUGCAGCAGUAGAAUUGACUAAACUUGGAAUGAUACACAGAAGAAUGACACAGCCCCGGUGCAAGGGGACACACGAAUACAUGAAGUAUCCCAUACUUUU